This is a non-coding RNA of Brachypodium distachyon (stiff brome), 125 nucleotides long. NCBI's taxonomy places the organism in Eukaryota, Viridiplantae, Streptophyta, Magnoliopsida, Poales, Poaceae. The record is from Rfam.
GUAAUACUCCCUCCGUCUCAUAUUAAGUGACUUUCUAUUACAUGUAUCUAGACAUGUUUUAGUCAUAGAUACAUUCAUAUUUAGUUAAAUUUGAGUCACUUAAUAUGGGACGGAGGGAGUAGUUA